UACGAGAGGCCCAAACGUUAUUCGGAUUUACUGGGCUUAAAGAGUUCGUAGGCGGUUCGGUAAGUGAGGUGUGAAAGCCCUCGGCUCAACCGAGGAAUUGCGCUUCAAACUGCCGGGCUCGAGGGAGAUAGAGGUGAGCGGAACUGAUGGUGGAGCGGUGAAAUGCGUUGAUAUCAUCAGGAACACCAGAGGCGAAGGCGGCUCACUGGGUCUCUUCUGACGCUGAGGAACGAAAGCUAGGGGAGCAAACAGG
RNAcentral lists this ribosomal RNA (253 nucleotides) under uncultured bacterium. RNAcentral's name for it is "partial 16S ribosomal RNA". It matches the Rfam family "Bacterial small subunit ribosomal RNA", at positions 524 to 776 of the family's 1533-position model. The record is from RNAcentral.